UAGGGAAUCUUCCACAAUGGACGCAAGUCUGAUGGAGCAACGCCGCGUGAGUGAAGAAGGUUUUCGGACCGUAAAGCUCUGUUGUUGGUGAAGAAGGAUAGAGGUAGUAACUGGCCUUUAUUUGACGGUAAUCAACCAGAAAGUCACGGCUAACUACGUGCCAGCAGCCGCGGUAAUACGUAGGUGGCAAGCGUUGUCCGGAUUUAUUGGGCGUAAAGCGAGCGCAGGCGGAAGAAUAAGUCUGAUGUGAAAGCCCUCGGCUUAACCGAGGAAUUGCAUCGGAAACUGUUUUCUUGAGUGCAGAAGAGGAGAGUAGAACUCCAUGUGUAGCGGUGGAAUGCGUAGAUAUAUGGAAGAAUACCAGUGGCGAAGGCGGCUCUCUGGUCUGCAACUGACGCUGAGGCUCGAAAGCAUGGGUAGCGAACAGGAUUAGGGGGAUACCCUGGUAGUCCAUGCCGUAAACGAUGAGUGCUAAGUGUUGGGAGGCUUCCGCCUCUCAGUGCUGCAGCUAACGCAUUAAGCACUCCGCCUGGGGGAGUACGACCGCAAGGUUGAA
RNAcentral lists this ribosomal RNA (556 nucleotides) under uncultured bacterium. RNAcentral's name for it is "partial 16S ribosomal RNA". It matches the Rfam family "Bacterial small subunit ribosomal RNA", at positions 355 to 898 of the family's 1533-position model. The record is from RNAcentral.